RNAcentral lists this ribosomal RNA (253 nucleotides) under uncultured bacterium. RNAcentral describes it as "partial 16S ribosomal RNA". It matches the Rfam family "Bacterial small subunit ribosomal RNA", at positions 524 to 776 of the family's 1533-position model. The record is from RNAcentral.
CACGUAGGGCGCGAGCGUUGUCCGGAAUUAUUGGGCGUAAAGAGCUCGUAGGCGGCCUGUUGCGUCCGCUGUGAAAGCCCGGGGCUUAACCCCGGGUCGGCAGUGGAUACGGGCAGGCUAGAGGUAGGUAGGGGAGAAUGGAAUUCCCGGUGUAGCGGUGAAAUGCGCAGAUAUCAGGAGGAACACCGGUGGCGAAGGCGGAUCUCUGGGCCAUUACUGACGCUGAGGAGCGAAAGCGUGGGGAGCGAACAGG